UACGUAGGGUGCUAGCGUUGUUCGGAAUCAUUGGGCGUAAAGCGCGUGUAGGCUGUUAGUUAAGUCGGGUGUGAAAUCCCUGGGCUCAACCGAGGAAGUGCAUCCGAAACUAACUAGCUAGAAGAUGGUAGAGGAAGGUGGAAUUCCUAGUGUAGAGGUGAAAUUCGUAGAUAUUAGGAGGAAUACCGGUGGCGAAGGCGGCCUUCUGGACCAUUCUUGACGCUGAGACGCGAAAGCGUGGGGAGCAAACAGG
This 253-nucleotide ribosomal RNA is filed under the name uncultured bacterium. RNAcentral's name for it is "partial 16S ribosomal RNA". It matches the Rfam family "Bacterial small subunit ribosomal RNA", at positions 524 to 776 of the family's 1533-position model. The record is from RNAcentral.